AGAGUUUGAUCCUGGCUCAAAAUCAACGCUGGCGGCGUGCCUCAGACAUGCAAGUCGAACGCGAAAGGCCCCUUCGGGGGCCGAGUAGAGUGGCGCACGGGUGAGUAACACGUAGGUAAUCUACCUUUGGGUGGGGAAUAACAGCCGGAAACGGCUGCUAAUACCGCAUAAUGCAGCGGCUCGACAUCGAGACAGUUGUUAAAGCGGGGGAUUCCGAAAGGAACCUCGCGCCUAAAGAGGAGCCUGCGGCAGAUUAGCUAGUUGGUAGGGUAACGGCCUACCAAGGCGACGAUCUGUAACCGGCCUGAGAGGGCGGUCGGUCACACUGACACUGACAUACGGGUCAAACUCCUACGUGAGGCAGCAGUCGGGAAUUUGGGGCAAUGGGCGAAAGCCUGACCCAGCACCGCCGCGUGAAGAAUGAAAUUCCUCGGGAUGUAAACUUCGCAAGAAUGGGAAGAAUAAGUGGGGGAUAAUACCCCCCAUGAUGACGGUACCAUUUGUAAGCUCCGGCUAACUCCGUGCCAGCAGCCGCGGUAAUACGGGGGGAGCAAGCGUUGUUCGGAUUUACUGGGCGUAAAGGGCGCGUAGGCGGCCAGCGCAAGUCAGUUGUGAAAUCUCCGGGCUUAACUCGGAACGGUCAACUGAUACUGCGCGGCUAGAGGUGCAGAAGGGGCAACUGGAAUUCUCGGGUGGUAGCCGGUGAAUGCGUAGAUUAUCGAGAGGAACACCUGGCGGCGAAGCCGGG
Molecule: ribosomal RNA, 748 nt
Filed under: uncultured bacterium
Lineage: Bacteria
Description: bacterial SSU rRNA
Rfam family: Bacterial small subunit ribosomal RNA
Source: RNAcentral